RNAcentral lists this ribosomal RNA (484 nucleotides) under uncultured bacterium. RNAcentral describes it as "partial 16S ribosomal RNA". It matches the Rfam family "Bacterial small subunit ribosomal RNA", at positions 30 to 507 of the family's 1533-position model. The record is from RNAcentral.
AUUGAACGCUGGCGGCAGGCCUAACACAUGCAAGUCGAGCGGAUGAAGGGAGCUUGCUCCUGGAUUCAGCGGCGGACGGGUGAGUAAUGCCUAGGAAUCUGCCUGGUAGUGGGGGAUAACGUCCGGAAACGGGCGCUAAUGCCGCAUACGUCCUGAGGGAGAAAGUGGGGGAUCUUCGGACCUCACGCUAUCAGAUGAGCCUAGGUCGGAUUAGCUAGUUGGUGGGGUAAAGGCCUACCAAGGCGACGAUCCGUAACUGGUCUGAGAGGAUGAUCAGUCACACUGGAACUGAGACACGGUCCAGACUCCUACGGGAGGCAGCAGUGGGGAAUAUUGGACAAUGGGCGAAAGCCUGAUCCAGCCAUGCCGCGUGUGUGAAGAAGGUCUUCGGAUUGUAAAGCACUUUAAGUCGGGAGGAAGGGCAGUAAGUUAAUACCUUGCUGUUUUGACGUUACCAACAGAAUAAGCACCGGCUAACUUCGUG